GAUCAUGGGCUCAGGAUGAACGCUAGCUACAGGCUUAACACAUGCAAGUCGAGGGGCAGCAUUUUUAGUUUGUCUUGCAAACUGAAGAUGGCGACCGGCGCACGGGUGAGUAACACGUAUCCAACCUGCCGAUAACUCCGGGAUAGCCUUUCGAAAGAAAGAUUAAUACCGGAUAGCAUACGAAUAUCGCAUGAUAUUUUUAUUAAAGAAUUUCGGUUAUCGAUGGGGAUGCGUUCCAUUUAG
RNAcentral lists this ribosomal RNA (243 nucleotides) under uncultured bacterium. RNAcentral describes it as "partial 16S ribosomal RNA". It matches the Rfam family "Bacterial small subunit ribosomal RNA", at positions 15 to 245 of the family's 1533-position model. The record is from RNAcentral.